This 802-nucleotide ribosomal RNA is filed under the name uncultured Alphaproteobacteria bacterium. RNAcentral describes it as "bacterial SSU rRNA". It matches the Rfam family "Bacterial small subunit ribosomal RNA", at positions 60 to 900 of the family's 1533-position model. Lineage: Bacteria; Pseudomonadati; Pseudomonadota; Alphaproteobacteria. The record is from RNAcentral.
AGUCGGACGAGAAGGUUCCUUCGGGAACUGGAGAGUGGCGCACGGGUGAGUAACGCGUGGGGACCUACCUCUUAGUGGGGGAUAACGGUUGGAAACGACCGCUAAUACCGCAUACGCCCUUCGGGGGAAAGAUUUAUCGCUAAGAGAUGGACCCGCGUUGGAUUAGAUAGUUGGUGAGGUAACGGCUCACCAAGUCGGCGAUCCAUAGCUGGUUUGAGAGGAUGAUCAGCCACACUGGGACUGAGACACGGCCCAGACUCCUACGGGAGGCAGCAGUGGGGAAUAUUGGACAAUGGGGGCAACCCUGAUCCAGCCAUGCCGCGUGAGUGAAGAAGGCCUUCGGGUUGUAAAGCUCUUUCAGAUGCGAAGAUGAUGACGGUAACAUCAGAAGAAGCCCCGGCUAAUUUCGUGCCAGCAGCCGCGGUAAUACGAAAGGGGCUAGCGUUGUUCGGAUUUACUGGGCGUAAAGGGCACGCAGGCGGUCUUGCCAGUCAGGGGUGAAAGCCCGGGGCUCAACCCCGGAACUGCCUCUGAUACUGCAAGACUAGAGACUAGGAGAGGGUGGUGGAAUUCCCAGUGUAGAGGUGAAAUUCGUAGAUAUUGGGAGGAACACCAGAGGCGAAGGCGGCCCCCUGGACUAAAUCUGACGCUCAGGUGCGAAAGCGUGGGGAGCAAAAAGGAUUAGAUACCCUGGGAGUCCCCCCCCUAAAACAUGAGAGCUAGUUGUCGGGAUUUCGAAUUUCGGGGAAGCCGCCUAACCCUUUAACACUCCCCCUGGGGAGUACGGUCCCCAGAUUAAAAC